RNAcentral lists this long non-coding RNA (216 nucleotides) under Elaeis guineensis (African oil palm). RNAcentral describes it as "long non-coding RNA (EGUI_LNC051052)". Lineage: Eukaryota; Viridiplantae; Streptophyta; Magnoliopsida; Arecales; Arecaceae. The record is from RNAcentral.
GGUUCCAGCCCCCACUAUGGAUUGUCUUAAAUUUUCAACUUCCUCUUCUAGUUCUAUCUUUUUCAGCAGCAUAUUCUGAAACAUCCGGUAGAAUCGCCAGCGCUCGUCCUCCGACUCUUGAAGCCUCCUCCUCAAGACCUCAGACUCUGCCUCAGCAUCCUUGACUGCCUGCCGUUCAUGGACCAACUGAACUUUCAGCCACCGUAAUUCAGCUUC